CAGUUUAACCCAGAAGUUUUCAACCUUUUAUAUGCCAAACAUGAUUAUCCUUGUAUGACGGACCCCCAUCCUGAAAUUUAAAAGAAGUAGUUUUGUGUAUAAAGACCCAAUUUAUACUAAGAAAUAAUAACAUUAUUAAUGUUUUAAUAUUUUUAAUAAAUAUAUUCAUUAUGUACGGUUAUGGUACUGUAUUUGUUUUCACUAAAUGUUUUAUUUACUUAUGUUUAUUUUAAUCUAAUGUUUAUUUAAUCUGUGUUAUUAAUAUCUUAAUUUUUAUUAUUUAUUUUACUUUUUUUUUUUGUUUUGUUUACACCUUUUCUCUAGUCAUAUCAAGUCAAGUCACCUUUAUUUAUAUAGCACUUUUUACAAUGCAGAUUGUGUCAAAGCAGCUUUACAGUGAUAGAGGGAACACAAUUUUGGCUGUACAGCAGCUCUAGAAGAAAAUGGUGUCAUUGUCCAGCUUAACAUGUUCGAAUUCCCACGCUUUUGCAAAGUUACUGAACUCUGUGCUGGCACACUGUGGACCAUUGUCCGAGACUACAUCUGGUACACCAUGCCUCAGAAACAUAGAUUUCACGGAAUGAACAAACGAGGCGUGCGGAUCCAUAUGCUGUCUUUAUUUAAUCAGAGACGUGGUAAAUAACAGGCUUGGGUCGGCAACAGCAAACAGGUAUAAAGCAGGCUAGACAAAGAGUAUUCCCGGGACAAGCGUGGACGACCAGUGGCAAACAAUAUCCAGAAGGUGUAGGCUAGAGAAUAAUUCAGAGAAAAGAGAGGUGCUAACAGAGUCCAAACGAGAGGGAAGUCCAAAGUACGAGGGCAAGAAUCCAAACACGGGAAAAUCAGACAAGGCUAAACUAAGGGUAUACACAAAAAAACUAGCACUGGCUCCAUAGAUGCAGCUAUAAGGAUGUCAUCGAUGACGUUGACCACACCUUCAAGAACUCUAACAUCUGUGCGACCGCAUGCUGGAAGAUUUCACUGGCUGAAGACACACCAAAUGGUAAGCGAAGAAAUCUAUACCUCCCUAUUGGUAUGUUGAAUGUGCAGAGUUUAUUUGCCAGAAUCCCUGAUUAGCGUCCAGUACUGAGAAUAUCUUUGUAUUUGGCAUGCUGGAUAUCACUUCUUCCACUGUCAGUAGAGGGUAAUGUUCGUGCUUUAUUGCUUUAUUAAGGUCUUGUGGAUCCACACAUAUAUUGUUCUGUUUCAGCACUGUUACCAUGCUAUUCACCCAGUCUGUCAAUUCUGUUUACUUUGCUAUUACACCCAUGCUUUCCAUCUUGUGUAGCUCUUCAGUUAUUUUGUCCUUGAGUGCUACAGGAUCCUUUCUGGUGGAUGAAUCACUGGUGAUACAUUGGGGUUUGUUUUGAUGUGAUGCUCGAUUGGCAAGCAACCAAGAACAAGUCGUCAAAGUCUUUUAAGGGGUCAUCUUUAGUCUUUAUUUCAUAUUUUCUUCUCAUCAUCCCUAAUUAUUCAGAGGUUGUGAAUCCAAGAAUUGCAGGUAUGUUGCCACUUGAAAUAGAAUAUAGUGCUUUUGGUUUCUGUAGGUGAAGGUAAGUUGAACUUGUCCCACAGGUGACAUCUUGUGGCCAGAAUAUAUAUAAUAAUAUAUAUAAUGUAAUUAAGUGACAGGUGGAGUUUUCUUUGAGAUUCCAGUGACUUGAAUACAUUGUUGGGUAUUAAAUUACAUGCAGCCCCUGUGUCUAAUUUAAAUGUAAUGUUCUUGUUGUUCAAUUUCAGGUUUUCAGUCCAUUUGUCUUUUUGACUUUGUGCACAUCAAUGGUUCUAACAAAGAAAUCAUCUUGUUCAUCACUUUGUUCACCUUGUUCUAUAGAGUACCUCAGGGAUGAUGUGUUUUUGUAGGCCGACCCGGAAGUUAGCGGCGCACGGGUUCCAUCGAUCGAAAGCCAAUGCAUUUUUCCCAUAGACUUUUGGAAAAUUGAAAAAAAUAAGCUCUGUGUUUAACAAAGGGUUAUGACACUUACACGUUUUGUCUAUCAAGAUAAUCUUUACAAGUUAACACAACAUUUAUACAUUUUGAAGCCUAAAUAAAGCUAACAGUAGGCUAUAAACGGACUACAGCACACCAUGGUCACGGAUCAACGUCACCACCACUGAGCUUCCUCAAACUUUAUUUAGAAAACAACUUUAUUUAAAAACAUGCUCGUUGAUUAUGAUCUGCGCUGUGUAUGAAUACUUAUCCACUUUUUCAUGAGAAAUGUUGUCCAAAUGUCCUGUUUGUCAUGAUGAUGUCUAAAGUCCCCGCCAAAGGAAGUAGUCCCUUUUAGCAACUUGUUAGCAACUGCCGUUUUUAAGACACAAUAAAGGUUUAAAAAAAUCACAAGCGGGUUAUAACUGGUGUGUUUUAUGUCAUAGAUCAAAACGUGAAAAUAUUUAGAGGCUUUGUUAACCACAGACCUUAUUUCAGGCAAUUUAGCAAAAACCCAUUCAAAAAACCCACUGACUUUUACGGCGAUGGAACCGGAAGUCCUAAAAUGCUCGCUUCCGGGUUUUGCCUACAAAAACAAGAUUUUCAUCUGAUUUGAAGUUAACUCAUUGGCCAGGCAGGUAUCAAAUGAAUUUUAAUCUGGUGAUUGAAUUGUGUUGUAGAAUUUGUUUGUCACUUCUGUAAAUAACCAAACUGAUUAAACAGGAGCGACAUUCGUAUUAUCUCUGUUCGCUGUUCUUCCUCCAGACUCCAGCAUGGAUGAAACUCCAGGGAGUUCUGCUGGAUUCGGCAUCAUCGUCAAGAGUAGGGAGGAUGGUGGAAAGUAUCACAUGGCUAACCUCCGGCCCGGUCCGCUCUGGUCUGAUGGGUUUGUCUGCUAGAUUACCACCCCAUCAUUGCCUGCGUUUAGUCUUAAACACGACCCGAAUCACAUCGGGUCAGUUUGUUGAUCGUUCCAACCCGCUAACAGGUCGACCUCACCGAAACACACUCUUAAAAGGACUCAAAUGCAUUACCCAAAAUUUUACAUUCAAACCCUCGAAAAAUAGAUGAGAUAUCCAUGAAUAAACUGCUGCAAAUGGUCAGUGUUCAACGAUGGCAUCAUGGUAGAUGGCUAAACAUUACAGCGAGAACCUGCUGCAGAGAUGUGGGAAUUAUAAAUGGGUGAAAAGCAGAGAUGAGACAUCAGACCUCAGCCAGUGGAUGCAGAGUUUAGAAAUAACAGACAGGAAAAAGGAACAAACCACAGAGCGACACUGGAACGACUCUGGUGGGCGUGGCAUCGGGGUGGAGUCUUUAUGUAAAUGGGAGGGGCAAACGAGGAGAGACCGACGCCCACACUUCCUGCCGCCCAUCACACAAAGCGACUGCUUGCUUAACGUCCUUCUGCUCCUUACAGACAAUUCCCCGCCCCCGUCGCCCUGCUCUCCGUCGGACAUCCUGUUCUUUCCUCUAUCUGUUCCUCACAUCCAGCCUUUUCUCAGAGAGAGGAGAGGAGCCGCACCAGCUCAACAUGACUGACACUGUCUAUCACUGACUGCAAGAGAAUCUUCAUGUGUGAAAUAUACAGGCAAACGUUUGGACACACCUUAUUGUUCUUUAUUAUAUUUCUUCCAUAUUAUGUUAGUCAACGGGGAUCAGAGACUGUUUGAUUACCAGCAUUCUUCGAAAUAUCUUUUGUGUUCAACAGAAGAAAGAAACUCAUACAGGUUUGGAUCAUCAUGAAGGAGAGUAAAUGAUGACAGAAUUUUCAUUUUUGGGUGAACUAGGUACUAGGACCGUUACUGUUCACUGUUGCUGUUCACUCUGUACAUGCUACCCUUGGGAGAUAUCAUUAGGAAGCAUGGCGUUAGUUUUCACUGUUACGCUGAUGAUACUCAGCUCUAUAUUUCUUCGCGCCCUGACGAAACUUACCAAUUCACAAAAUUAACGGAAUGCAUAGCUGAUAUAAAAAAUUGGAUGACCAGUAAUUUCCUACUACUAAAUUCAGAAAAAACAGAGAUUCUAAUUUUUGGACCAAAAACUUCUUCACGUAAUAACCUAGAAUACUGUCUAACACUUGAUGGCUGCUCUGUUAAGUCUUCGUCGUCAGUUAGGAACCUGGGUGUGCUCUUUGAUACCAAUCUUUCAUUUGAAGGCCAUGUUACUAGCAUCUGUAAAACCGCAUUCUUCCAUCUUAAAAAUAUAUCUAAACUACGACAUAUGCUCUCAAUGAAAAAUGCAGAACAGUUAGUUCAUGCGUUCAUGACCUCAAGGCUAGAUUACUGUAACGCUCUACUGGGUGGUUGUUCUGCUCGCCUGAUAAAUAAACUACAGCUCAUACAAAAUGCAGCAGCUAGAGUUCUUACUAGAACCAGGAAAUAUGACCAUAUUAGCCCAGUUCUGUCAAUACUGCAUUGGCUUCCUGUUAAACAUCGUAUAGAUUUUAAAAUCUUGCUAAUUACUUACAAAGCACUAAAUGGUUUAGCUCCCCAGUACCUGAGCGAGCUCCUAAUUCAUUAUAGUCCUUCACGUCUAUUGCGAUCUCAGAAUUCAGGCCAGCUGAUAAUACCUAGAAUAUCAAAAUCAACUGCAGGUGGUAGAUCCUUCUCCUAUUUGGCACCUAAACUCUGGAACAAUCUUCCUAGCAUUGUUCGGGAAGCAGACACACUCUGUCAGUUUAAAUCUAGACUAAAAACGCAUUUCUUUAACCUGGCAUACACAUAAUACAUUACCAAUUUAUAUUUUCAAAUCCGUUAAAGGAUUAUUAGGCUGCAUAAAUUAGGUCAGCCGGAACCGGGAACACUUCCUAUAACACCUGAUGUACUCGCUACAUCAGAAGAAGAAUGGCAUCUACGCUAAUAUUAGUCUUUCUGUUUAUCCCGAGGUUCACCGUAGUCAGCCGGAUCCGGGCCGUAUCCAGGUGAGACCAAGGACCUGCACCUUGACACGACCACAACGCAGCCCUGACGUAUCAGCAGAGAUUGAGUCAACUAGAUCAUCCCCUGUGAAGGCCUCAUCGACACGACAGCCACGACACAGUUCCUCAACAACCGUCCAUACCGGCGUGAUCCUCAAUACGAUCCUCAAUUGGAUGGAGCUGAAAUAAAUACUUUUAAUGUUGCGAUCCUAUUGGACUUAUGAUAGCAACCUGAAUUGUAACAAAGCACUGUUGGCCAGAGGAGAACUGGCACCCCGACUAAGCCUGGUUUCUCCCAAGGUUUUUUUCUCCAUUUUAACACCAAUUUGCCACUUGUCUGCCACCUGAUGUCACCUGAUGGAGUUUGGGUUCCUUGCCGCUGUCGCCUCUGGCUUGCUUAGUUGGGGACACUUGACUUGACAUUUGAUAUUCAACAGUGCUUUGAUCUGCCUGCAUUGACACUAUUCUUUAAGAGCUGCUGUGCAGCCAAACAAUGUACCAGUUAUCAAUGUAAAGCUGCUUUGACACAAUCUGCAUUGUAAAAAGCGCUAUAUAAAUAAAGGUGACUUGACUUGACUGACUGAA
Long non-coding RNA from Ctenopharyngodon idella (grass carp), 5432 nucleotides. RefSeq lists it as uncharacterized. The transcript has 2 exons. Lineage: Eukaryota; Metazoa; Chordata; Actinopteri; Cypriniformes; Xenocyprididae. The record is from RefSeq and is a predicted model, not a curated record.